Molecule: long non-coding RNA, 933 nt
Organism: Asparagus officinalis (garden asparagus)
Lineage: Eukaryota; Viridiplantae; Streptophyta; Magnoliopsida; Asparagales; Asparagaceae
Exons: 4
Source: RefSeq, a predicted model, not a curated record
CAGUUCCAAAUAUUCAUAUUCCUGAAGAAGAUAUGGUCCAAGAAGAUGAUACAGCUGAAGAUACACCAACACAAGAUACAAUUAAAGUUGCAAGAGGCAUAAAAAAGAAAAGGGGUCCAACAAAAGAGAAAAAACAUGCUAGAGACCCUGCAAACCGAAUUCAGAUUCAAUUUACUGAUUCUGGUGAACCAUAUGGACCCGGAUCAAUACACUUGUCAUAGUUUUUGGGCCCUCUUGUACGAAAGCAUGUACCUGUAACACUUGAUGAUUGGAGGAACCUUGGUGAUGAUCUGAAAGUUGUAUUAUGGGAAGAAGUUCAGAAAAUAAAUAUUGCAGACCCAUCUAGUGUGUCAAGGGUUAAAGCUUGGAUCAAAGCUCACACAAAAAAAGAUGGUACACCGGUGAAUUCAGCAGUUGGUGAAACAAUUAGUGUGAACAACUCAAAGAAAAAGUGAAACUUGUUAGAUAUUGUUGGCUCGGGAAAGAUAGUUGUUGAAGGACAUUGGUCUUCAAGUGAUCCGAACCAGGUUGUUCACUUUGUUCCUUUAGGUCCUAAUGCUAUGCGUGUUUGGGUUGAUAUCCCUAGGAUCCCUAGUGCAUCUCUUUGGAGAACGACAUCUGAGUUAGAAUGCAUUGAAGAUGUCGUUGGUACGACAAUAGCUUGGCCAUCAAAUAAAGUUGUUAUGCUUUGAAAGCUGUAGUACUAGUACUCAAUUCUGAAGAUGAUGAGUCUCCCAAGUCAUAUGUAAUGCAGCAAAGUUACUUUUUGUUGUUCUGUGUACUAUAGUUAAUUUCUUGUACUCCAUGUUGGAUUAUCCAAAGAUUAGUAUUUGUUUUUUGGCACAUUUGUGUUGACUCUUCUUGUAUGCUACAACUUGGUUAUGUAUCAGUUUGAACCUUUAAAUGAAAUAUUUGCUUUUAUAGUUAUCACAA